AUCUCAUCUUCCUAUUCUCAAUAGAGCCGUCGCUGCCAAAAUCAAGGUCCGAUGUGCGCAAACUAAUCACCAGGAGAGCUCGAUGUUGUGCACCCGGACCACCACACCUCGCCUGGAUGGCGCCGCCGCCAGGCCGCAGUGACUCCCUGGUGCCCGCUUGACCUUCGUCGCACUACUGCACCACGCCUGGACGGCACCGCCGCCCGCCCGCAAUGCGUCACCGACAGCCGCAGCUUCUCCUCGAGGCCCCCAGUAGCUUCGCCCAACUGGUCACUUCCAAUCAUCGGCAUCCGGUUCGCCCAUCUGCCGCGGCCCUCCGCACCCACCAUAGAACGUCCAUCGCCACCAAGGAUCUAGCCACUUCUCGUCCUGCAUCCCCUCAGUUCCUCCUCCCUUUGUGGUGGUGUGGAGCUCGGUGAACUAAUCGGCGUGGUCUGCGGCGAGAGAGGAAAAAGAGGGGCUCGGGCUCUACUUGCCUCUACCGUGUUUAUUUUAUUUUCUCCGUCAGAUUGGAACAUCUCUAGCGCCAGCGUGAGUUUCUGGGAUUUCCUUGCGGUUUACAAGAUGAACCCCUCUAUCAUUGGCGCUAAUGUUCCCAUUAGCAAGGAAUGGGUUCCAGAAGAUAGACAAGAUCAAGGACUAUCACAGGCAUCCAAGCAGCUAGAUGGACUCACUGGCAAUGAGGGAGUGCAAGCGAACUGCAGAUCAAUGAGGUUGCUGCAGCUAGCAGUCAAAUAUAUAUGAUAUUAUCUUCAGUGAGGUAAAUAUUAGAUACUGUAGCUAAGUUCUGUUAUGCAAAUUUCCACACCAUGUUCUUUUAGCAAAUACUUUCAUUGACGCUUAAAUAUUAGAAAAGACAUCAUCCGCAAUGUAUACACAGAAUGUGGGCUUUGCUAAACAAACAUUGGUGGUAAGAAGUUCAGAUUAUCAGAACUUCUAUCGUUCAUUUCCUCAUAAUUAUUUUUGGUAUUCAACCCCAACAUAAUAACUAAUUCUUCUUGGACGUCGUGUUUUGAUCCCCAAAAGGAGUACACAGUCAUAGGUUAUACAGUUUUCUGUUUUAUCUCACUUAUUUACCAUAAGCAUUGAAAGGGAUGCAAAGAAGAUAGAUGGUGUGCCGAAGUAACUCUGACCUGGUUCCAUGUUGAGGUUGCACAUCAGCUUUUUCCAGAAACUAUGUUCUCACAAAUAAGACUGACUUUCUGCAACCGUAUUAUUUUCAUCAUUGUAAAAGUAAUUUAAAUUAUUCUGUAGUAUAAGUUAUGGUGCAAAGUGAUAUAUGUUGUUCUAACCUUUAAAUUAUUCUGUUCUUCAGAUUCCAUAGAUCUUUCAUGCAUGUGGCUUAUUAAUCAUUUUGACAUUCCCAUCAGAUUACUAUGAUAGGAAUUGAAGCAUUUUAUAAGCUUUGAUUUUCAUUCUUUCGAAUUGUCAUUUGUAUAAUUUUUUGUUCUAUAUCCGGUGCACUCCACUUCAACAUUCUGGUAUGCCAGUUCUUACUUCUUAGGCCUUUGUUUUUCACCUCUCUUCCUAAUAUUUACUCGCUACUACAUUGACUUUUGGUAAGCUAGGUCUGCAGCAAGGAUGUACAUUUGGAUUUGAUGUUAUUAUGCUAUAAACUAUAAUUGUGCUUCAAAAUGAUUUAUAUACAGAACCAUGUUAUUACAUUUCUAUAAUGUUUUAUAUUCUCCUUUUUCAAGGAAAGAACCCCUCAAUGGAGCUAUUCUUCGUAUGUGCACUUUUUUUUUGGUUUUAUGACUGGUUUCAGUGGCACAAGAGCAAUACUCAACUUUUAUUUUGUCUACCUACCUUUUCUAAGUGAGGUUCAAGUGACCUCAAAUUACAAGUCUGCUUAGCUAUUUUUACCAAUCAACCAGCCUUACAUAUAGUAAUUCUUUUCUUGCAAUUUAAAUCAUUAUAUUCUUUCUUGAGACAUUAAGGAUUGUUGUUUUUCCCCAAGAAACUAUUCAGUAUUCAUUGAGUUUGGUUCUAUAGCACACAUGAUUAUCUUGAUUGAAACAUGUAUUUUUAUUUGGUCAGGU
Molecule: long non-coding RNA, 2039 nt
Organism: Triticum aestivum (bread wheat)
Lineage: Eukaryota; Viridiplantae; Streptophyta; Magnoliopsida; Poales; Poaceae
Exons: 3
Source: RefSeq, a predicted model, not a curated record